This 30258-nucleotide long non-coding RNA is filed under the name Eucalyptus grandis. Its description in RNAcentral is "long non-coding RNA (EGRA_LNC005269)". Lineage: Eukaryota; Viridiplantae; Streptophyta; Magnoliopsida; Myrtales; Myrtaceae. The record is from RNAcentral.
GGUUACUGAUGUAUCAGGCAUCAUCGGAUGGUGUGCAAUAUUUCUUUCAGAGGUACCAUGUUUAUGUGCCAAUUGGUCCAUUAUUAGUUUUCAUUAACCAUUUUACUUAUCCCUUGGCUAGCUUACUUGCUCCGCUGGCAAAGUUCUUCAAAAGUUGAUGUCUAGCCUCAAAUCUUACCGAGCAAAUAGACAUUAAUGUCGAAUGGAGAACCUGGUUCUUUUGUGGGCAUAGUUUACUAUCUGCUCUAGAUAAUACUUACACACUUUAACUUCUUGAAGAGUGCUUGGUCUCUUGACCUUGGAAGAUUAUUACUGGGAUUUGGAGUUGGUCUUGCCUCAUACGUGGUAACAAAUGCAAUUUCUUCAGAUCAUACAGCAUUGUAAGUCCAACAAUUCAAUGUUGAUUGAUUAUGCAUUUAAUCGUGCAGGUACCAGUGUAUGUUGCAGAGGUAACACCGAAGAAUUUAAGGGGAGGAUUUGUUUCGCUCUGUAUGGUAAUUAAAAGCCUCAUAAAUUGUUGCCUUGGCUUCAGUCUCUACCUGAAGUCAAAUUACAUCGAUCCUCUGUAUGAUCCACAAGCUCAGGCCCCUUCUUUACAGCUUUUAUCGAUGUCAUUUUAGGCAUUCCACAUAUCUUUCCUGACUUGUUCUUGCAUCAUACAAAUCACAUUAUCUCGCUGGAGGAUCUUGUGGCCAUCCUUUGUAUAUCGAAACUAACUUCCCUUUUUUAACCUGGUGGAUGAUAUACAGUUGGUGAUAGCUGGUGGCAUGUCAAUGACGUACAUCAUUGGUUCGCUGGUAAAUUGGCGUCUCUUGGCUUGUUUAGGUACUCCCCAUUAGACUUUAAAUAAUUAUUGGUUCGUAUGCUUCGAAUAUGAUUUUUAAGCUUUCUCAUGCAACGUGUUUCAGGAAUUAUUCCAUGUCUAUUGCAGCUGGGGGGUCUUUUCCUUAUUCCAGAAUCUCCUAGAUGGCUGGUGAGUUUCUUGAAGGGAAAUUCAAGCUACUGUUGCUGGAAUGUAGAUGACAUGUUAAAUAGAAUCUAGAACCUUUCAUGCAAUUUUUGCCCCCGCCUUGUUGCUUGCAUGAGUAAGACUGGCAGAAGCAUCAGUCGGGACUGAUAUAGACAAUGAUGAUUGCUGUGCACAGGCCAAGGUUGGUCGAGAAAAAGACAUGAAAGCUGCGUUGCAGCGUCUCAGGGGAAAGAAUGCAGAUAUCUCCAAAGAAACAUCUGAAAUCAAGUAUAAAAUCUCACUGCAGCAGAAUGUUUUCAUUUUAAACUCAUGGCUUAAUUAUGUCCAAAUGGCUUACUUUCGAGAAAGGUAUGUGGUUUAGCAUGAGGUAGCGCUUCGUUUUCUGCAGGGUUACAUCGAAACUCUUCAGCAAGUAUCAGAACAUAGGAUAUUCCACAUAUUUCAGCGAAAAUACGCACGAGCACUAACUGUAAGCCCCGUAGCUGAAUUCUUACUAUUUAUCUCGAUCUUUACCAAUUUCAUGUUCUCGAUGAAUCAAGCAAGUGAAUUCGAUCUAGGUUGGACUUGGCCUAAUGGUUUUUCAACAGUUGGGAGGAUUAAGUGCAUAUGGAUUUUAUAUGAGUUCAAUUCUCAAAAAAGCCGGUAACUUUAUCUAUGCUGAAUCAUCAUUCAAUGAGAACUUUCGAUCUCAAGAUGAAGAACACACUGACAACAAUUGGCUUCUGAGACAGGUGCUUCAACUACUGCCGGGUCCAUCACCACGGCCAUUGUCAAGGUUUGUAUUCCUGUGUAAAUAGUGAGCCUUUUUUCUCCUCUCCUCCCUUAGCCUAUGAAUAAUUCUUUCGUAUCCAUGACACGCAGUUGGCAGCAAAUAUUGUAGCUGUGUUCUUGAUGGAUAAAUUCGGAAGACGACCGUUACUGCUGGUAGUAACUGAGCCGAAGCACUGCGGAUCAUUCUUGUGCUCAUCAUAUUCACCCAACACAAAUAUUACUUCAAAAUGGCUGAUAGAUAAAAUGCUUCUGAAUGUAGUCGAAACUUUACUAUUCCUGAAACCAACUAGCUAAUAUGCAGGUUUCAGCAUCCGGAGCUUGCUUGGCUGGCUUCCUUAUUGGAUUAUCAUUUCUCCUACAGGUUCCUUACUACACAUGCUUCCUGUUUAUCCUCAUAUGAAUUUAGUAAGGUAUGCUCUUGAUGGAAAACUGUCUAAGAUUCAACGUGCAGGACUAUCAUCAAUCAACGGAUGUUGUAUCCACCUUGACCUUCGUGGGGAUUGUGGUGAUUUUUUUCCCCUUGACAUGUUAAAUGCUCUUUUUGUUGCUUCAAAAUUCAAAGAAAAUGCAGCAGCAGCAUUGUUAUGAACUUUGCUCCUCUUAGAUGGAUUAAUGAGGUGCGCACUAUACAACUUCAGGUUUUUAGCGGGUUUUUUGCGAUGGGCUUAGGAGGGAUACCGUGGAUCAUAAUGGCUGAAGUCAGUGAGAAAUCUGGUGCUCUAACUACUUUUCUCGAGCCCUGUAUGCUCAUUGAGUUCACAGGGCUUGACGUGAUCACCAAUCGUCUUGAUGUCUCAUCUUGUUAUGACGGUUUCUGCUGUGCCAGAUUUUCCCAAUGAACGUGAAGGGACCGGCAGGGAGCCUCGUGAAUUUGGUCAGCUGGUCCGGUUCCUGGCUUGUGGCCUACACAUUCAACUAUUUCUUUGAAUGGAGCUCAGCAGGUGACGCUUCUUCACUUCUCAUCCUCGCUGCUUUUUCUAGUGCCAAAUUCAGGUACAAAUUAAUAUAUUAAUCAGUCUGCCGAAUGUGCCAGGCGUGUUUUUUGCGUUCUCGGGCAUCUGCUGUUCUGCAGUACUCUUCAUAGCGAAGAUGGUGCCGGAAACCAAGGGGCGCACGCUCGAGGAAAUAGAGGCAUCGAUGACCUCAUAGCACACCCUGGAAACAAGGUCCUCAACGAAGCAAAUUUUGUCUACUCGAUCUCUAUGAUCGCGAAAUUGGUGUUAGCUUGCUCUUAUGCUGAACCGAGUGCAGAUCGAGUAGCGUAAAAUGCAUAACUCUGGUGUAGGAAUUGAACGCGAGCUGAAGCCAAUUCUUUGAACUGUUUGAAUUUGAGAUGGCCUGCAAAGUAGAUAGAAAGCAGCUAAUAUGGGAAGCUUGUUAUUCAUAUGUUCAGGUAGAAAUAUUGCGAGGGCUAAAUAAUGGAUUAGUGUAUGAGAUUACCGGGUAUUAUUGAAAGCUAGUAAACACUAAAAGUGUUUGAAUAACUCAAGUGUGGGUAUAUUUUCCGUCAUAUCGUUUAUUCAAUACUAAAUUCCUAUGCGAGUUUCCCCAUGGAGUAGGCCUUGCCACUUGAACUAUAGAAAUCCAGCGUUCAAUUUAUUUCGUCGUUGUAUUUACUUAAUAUAUUGUUUAUUUGUUUUCCACAACGUAAUGUUAGAAAAGAGUCAUUGUCCACAUAUGAGUCCAAUAGAUUUGCGGUCAUGCGAUAUAUAUGGGUAUGGUGCAUACCCAUAUAGAUCCAUGUAGAGUCGGGCUUUUAUGAAUUUAAAAUGAAUUUUAUUGGUUGAAAAAGCGCGAAGUCCAUAUACUUCCGUUUUUAAUAUCCCAACAGCCUUUACUUUUCUAUUUUGCUCAAGUACAAAUAUUAGGACUAAAAGCUUCUUUCAAGGAAGAAAAAACAAAAGAAUUUCUCGAGUAUGACUAUUCAAAAAGAUGUCUUUACUAGCACCAAUAGAUACCAGAUAAGUUAUAGUUGUCAAUGUGAAAUGCUGCAAGUAUCUACGGUCAACGAUUUGGCAAAGAGUAUAAAAAAAAAGUCUUAAUCCUUUUGUAUCGAUGUCAAUUUAGUCCUAAUUUUUUAGUCUCAUUAAAAUAUUACAUAAAGAUAGAUGGCUUUUCCAAUCCCAAUCCAAAUAUCCCUGCUAUGAUGCUAUUUUGUCCACACUCAUCCCAAGCCAUGUUGUAAUUGUUUAGGCCACAACCAAGCACGGUAUUAGGAAAUCUUUUGGAAUAUCCCUUGUUAUGAAAGGUGAAGAUGUGAGAUUCAAGCUGAGCUCUGCUAUAGGUCUCACCACUUCCAUAUCUAAGGUAGACCUUGUCGUACAUAUAAAUGUCGUUUUUACAUAGACGGGGAACACAGAGGAAAAGAUCACAAGGCAAAGGUCGAUAUGAUGAUGAUUGGCUUUUAUUGAAGUUACCUUGCCUUAUGAAGAAGCAAUGGCUACAGCCUUUACAUUGCAUCCAUAUAUCCACACUACUUGUAUCCACCACCAAGUUUGCAUAUUGACCAGUGCCAAUUGACGGGGUGGUUAUAUAGUAAUUGAGAUUAGCCCCCAGCAACCGGAGGUUGCAGUGCACUGGGGCUCCAUUUAUUGACUCCUUCCGGAGCAUUGAACUCGACGAAACCAUGAAUUUGAGUUGGCACACAUGAGCUUUAGAUAUCUUAAAGAUUUUUUGAUAUCUUUCUUCUGGGUGAGAUUUCUAGGAUAGAGCGUUGUGUCAAAUCGGUCUAUAGGGAUAAGUUUAAUACUAAAACCAUGGAUUUCAAAAGACUUGGUGGUGAUGGGAAAGCAAAUGAAGAGAGCAACUAGAGUAAGAAGUGACAUUGUCCUAGUUUUCGCGAAUUUUCUGGUUGUGUUCGCAAUUGCUGAAUCCUCAUAUAGUGCUAUUAUUCUUCUUUUUCUCAUUGCUAAUAAAUUGUGUUUCUAAGAAGUUUUUUUUUUUUUUUGGGGUUUGGUCUGGUAAUAAAAUCAGAUUUCCGCUAAUUAAUAUACUCCCAAAAGUAGAGACAAUUAAUAUAAUGAUCCGCAUUUGUUGUAAAAAUUUCAUUUUUAAAAGUCAACUCAUCUUCCUCCUAAGGUAUACAAGUUCCAUUGCGAAGAAGUUAAAGGAAACGGCUCAUGCACAAAUGAUAGAGAUAAAUCGGAUUUCCUCUAAUUAAUAUGCUCCAAAAAGUAAAGACUAUUAAUAUAAUGAUCCAAAUUUAUUGUGGAUUUUUUUUUUUCAAAGUCAACUCAUCUUGGACCAAAGAUAUAUAAGUUCCUAAAAAGGCACCCGUUCUUACUUUAACCUAAAACCUACUCCUGGUGCAUAGGCUCUUGCAACCUAUCCUACAGGAACUGGUCAAUUUCACGCAUUUCUGGAACCUACACUCUAAUGUAAUCUUUUUUCAAAUACAAUUUUUUUAAUUACCAUUAAUUGCUAACACAUUCAUAGAGUAAAAAAAAAAAAAAAACAAUUACAAUUUACACAGUCUAAGUACAUGUUGUCAACAACUUCUUAGAUAAGACAUAAUAACAUUGCACAGCUAAAAUGCAAAACUACAUCGAUUUUUUUUUCUCAUAAAAAUAUAACUCAGCAACUUGUACCGAAGCAUAUCCUUCACAACCUUCCCCUCGUUCUCAACAUAUCUUGCAAUCUCUUCCUUUUUAAAGGCCUCUCACAAUUAAAAAAAAUUAACUCCUAGGGUUGAAACAAUUGAUUGUGGCUUUGGGGUUUUUUCCAGCUCACGAAUGAGUUCAUCAGUUCAAACUUACCUUCUGUGUGUAAAUUGCCUUAAGUUGAGAUUACUUGUAUAGAGUAAAAGUCUACACUAAAUUGAUUCAUGAGACAUACAAAAUGUUUAUGUGCCUUUAGGGACCUGUGUCUUUAUGCUCGUGCCCCUGAAUUAUCUAUAAAAAAUUAUAUGCAUUCAAAGACGAUAUGACUUGAAUAAAAUUAAAUCCAAUAGUGCAUGUGUAUGUCCAUAUUAAAAUCGAUUCUUGGCUAGUUUGUUGGGUCUAGCCUUAAUCACAAGAAGUUGUUUAUUCAUGCAAAUUUCUUUAAUUACAUUGGGUCGCUUCAAGGGAGAUGAAUCUCAUAAUUAGAGGAAAUGUAGAAAAGCAUCCUCAUAAAUAUCAUUCUUAAAUUGCCUUACUGAAUGAGAAACAUAAACAUGAAAUAUGCAUAAUCUGCUUCAAAAGUUAGAGCCAUACUCGUCUUAUUCUUUUCCCAUAGUUCUCCAUGUCGCACUCACAUAAUAAUUGGUCGAGGAUGGACGAGAGUAGACUAUCGAAAAAAAGUACAUGAUGCAAGAUAAUAACCAUUUUUCUUGUAUUAAGGAAAGAUAUGGACAUUUUGCGAAAGUUGCCUUCAUCACGGGAUGAAUGGAAAGAGAUUGGGAAGGCCGGUAGGUCCAAGAAGAGUUUCAACGAUGUAUAACCAAAUUUGCCUAGUACUUGAAAGGGAAAGUUCCCUAACCAAGGAGAAAAGAAGGUUCAUGCAGUCCUCGGAACCUGCAAAAACAUUGCCCUCCUGGAAGCAGUGCACAAGUGGUACCAUACCUUUUAAUGAUUGAUCAGAGACACAGGCAUGACAGUACAUGCUACUUCCGAGUAUCUCGGUCAGGGUGAAUUUAAGUCCAGAAAAAUUUGUGCCCCACAUUUCGGUUAGCAGUAUACCUCCAUUGCACAUGCCUAAUAAAAGUUACUGUAGAAGUACCAUCGCGUUUAAUUAUAGGCGUGGCACAUCAAGAAAAUGUACAAAAUAGGAUAAGCAACACUUCCAGUCAAUGGAAAUGAUUUCACGAAAGAAAAGCAACAAAUGAAUUUCCAAGAGAUUAAUUACUUACCCAACAUCCUCAUAUAUAUAGCAACAUAAAGCUACAUAGGCUUCAAAUUCUCAGCACCCGGAUGAUUGUGUAGCUAACUACUUCACUGUUGUGAUGAUCUUAUAAUGCAGUUUUUCCAACGUUACAUUUUGUAGUCAACAUUAUGAGAACUCUUUUUUUUUUAUCAAAUAUAUCUUGUCUAGGAUGGUAUCAUAGAUCUCAUGGAAAACAACAGCUAAGAGAAAAAAGAGAAGAUAUAUUACAAUCAUAAAAUCUAUAAUUAACUUCAAAAAAGCAUAGGCCUUAGGUUAUUUGGCAGCUCAAGAUGGGUCUCAUGAAAAUCUUAUAUUCCUUGAGGUGGUUUUGUCUAGUGGAUAGUGGUUUGUAAUGGAACUUUAACUUCAGUUGUGAUAAUUAAAACCAUCAGUUUCGUUUAGGGGGUCGGGAAUGUGUCACUUAUCAAUUUAUCAAGUAAAUUAUUGGGGGGCCCAAGUAGACCAUAUAGAUUAAUUGUGCUUCUUGCCUAAGUAAUCAACCUAUUGUUUUUUUUUUUUUUUGUCAAAAGAGUAAUCAACUUGUUUGAAGUGGCUCACUUUGUACUGUAAUAGCUCAUUUAUCAACAAUGAUUAGUUUUACUCCAAAAUUUUGGAAUUAUUUGGCUCCUUGUCAUUCUCCUCCACUACGAAAAAACUCCCCUUGGAGGAGCUGUACAAUCUCUAUAUGAUAAAAGUUUAACCUCUAAUUUCUAAAACUCAGAUUUAUAAAUCAAACUUGUCCUUGAAAAAACUCAAGUUGAGAAAUAUUAUAUAUUUUGGCUUUAUAAACUAACUCAAAUCAAAUGCAUGUUAUCAUUCUAUAAACCUUACUCAAAGUUAAGAGCUUUUUAUAAAAAGAUUUUGUAAACCCAAAAUAUAUAAUAUUUCUCAACUUGAUUAAUCAAACAAAAUAUAUAUUUCCACCAAACAGUUCUCACAUCAUUCAUAAAUAUCAAAAUGUAUUAAAUGUCCGAUUCAAAUUUUUUGCAACAAAUAUGCUUAUUCAUAACUCACAAUAUAUCAAAUCUCGAUCUACAUGAGUUUACAAACUCUUAGAUAACAAUAUAGUGGUUACUCUAGCCAAGGUACUUGUAUCUGUAUCAAUUAAUUGAAAACGAUAUCAAAACCAUGUAAUAUGCUACUCUAAUCAAUGAUUUGACUAAACUAUGCUUAUUCUUUGAUAAAACGGCACCUAUGCGCUAUCAAAGAAACACGUUUAUAGCAAAAGUUUAUCUUUCUCUAUAACGCAAAUUGUCUGCUACGUGUAACUCAAACUUGAAACUUAGAAAUUUUUUAUGAUCAAAUUAUGCCUCGGAAUCGAAUUUUGUUAAACCCCAAAGCUCCACAACGCCUUAGACUACCUUUUCCAUGGAAAUCGCAGUUCAAAAACUCCUCAUUCGAACCUCAAAGUUCAAGAUAAUAUAACUUAAAGUUUGUACCCUAACUUCCAAAAUUACUCUGAUUAGACAAAUAAUCAACUCGAAUACUUACCGGGUGUUACAAUUAGAAGUUGACUCAGCUAGUCGGGGUGUCCAGAUCAGUUACUUGGGACAAUUUUUUUUUUCCCCUUUUUCUUCUUUUCCUCUUUCCCUCCUCGUUUUCUGCUUCAGCUUCUUCUUUUCCUUUGGUGCUUCAAAAGCACGAGGUCAAAUAAUAGGAGAGAAAAAGAGGGUUGGGCUUAACUUUUAAGAGACAUGGGCUGGUUGGGCUUUUAUUGGGCCUGUUAUUAAAAAGUUUCACAGACAGUGUUAGUUUUUAUAUCCCACUUUUUAGCCACUGGUAAAGUGAAUUUUUGUGUAGCAUUGUGUAUUCCCUCGGGACCCUCCUAGCGGAGCGGAGCUGGUUUCUAGUUUGGUGCUUUCUGGAGUUUUGGUAACGCCACUUAACAUGCUUUUUUGUUCUCAGUCCUUCCUUUUCUCCCCAAAUUUAAUAUGCAUCAACUGCUUAUUUCUCUCUUUCUCUUCCCUCAGGUAUUUCUAGGCUCGUUCGAACUCAGGAUGGGAGGAAUUCCUUGGAUUGUAAUGCUGGAGGUAUAGUCCUAGGACUUGCAAUUGAUUUCUUUUGACUAAUAUUUUUUCAUUCGACAAUGCAAACGGUAUACACGGUGUGGUUCCUCAUUGGCAGAUAUUUCCAAUAAAUGUAAAGGGUUCAGCUGGAAGCUUAGUUUACUUGGUCAGCUGGAUAGGAUCUAGGUUUAUCUCAUAUACUUUCAGCUACUCGUUUGAAUGGAGCUCAGCAGGUGCAUCUCUUCAAAAUCUCUCUCGGGACAUUUCUUUUUAUGCUCCUCUGUUACUUAAAUUCAGUCUACUCUGCUAUUUCUUCAGGGACAUUCUUUAUAUGUGCAGGCAUUUGUGCGGUCGGUGUUAUAUUUAUCGCAAAACUUGUACCUGAGACAAAGGGGCGGAUGCUGGAAGAAAUACAUGCCUCCAUCACCAAUAAGAAUGACAAUAAUUUGUCAUGGAUGUAGGAGCUUCGUGUGGGGUAUACUUUGUGUAAUUGUACAGAGCAUGCUGGAAAGUUUUGAUGAGAAGAUCCCUGAGUUGGAGAAGCAAAUCAAAGGAUAAGCUUUUAGACAUUACAGUAGAUAAAACAUGAGAGAGACGUGGUUGAAUUAAGGAGCGUAAAUAAAAAAGGAGAGCUGUAAUCUUCUGUAAAAUCUAUACGGACUAUUUUCAUCCAUUUGCUCUCAGCAUUAUCUGGUUUAACAUUAAUCUGAAUCAUAGACAAAUCGAAAUAGUUGCACGAUUUUAGUUUCUAUUAUUCAUAACGAGUCUUGGAUCCUCUUCGCGAAUUGGAUCUGACUUUGGGACACGGCUUAAUCUCAAAAUUAAACCUCACGAACUUCUCGUCCUUUUCGUUAAACUGGAAUGCCUCGACAGUUUGGGCCUGCAUGUUUUCACUUCUCAAAAGUGUUUAUGAACAGAAAUUCUGUUCUUUUGUUCCCGGGAACAAAAAAAGAACAGAAACGCGUUUGGUUGCGUUUCUGUUCUUUUUUUGUUUUUUUGUUUCCGGAACUUAAAAAGAACAGAAACGAGAAACAAAAAAAAGUUGUUUCUCGUUCCAGAAACAAUUUUGAAGAAAUAAUUUUUUGUUUCUUCUUCUCUCUCUUCUCUUCUCUUCCUCUUUUCUUCUUCUUUCUCUUUGGCCGGUCGCCGGCCUCGGCCUCGGCUAUGGCCGGCUGUCGAGGGCCGGCGAUGCCGUCGAGGGUCGGCGACCUCGCCGGAGCGUCGCCGGCCCCUGGCGAGGCUCGGCAUCGCCGGCGCGGGCGAGCCCGAGCCUCGCCGGAUCUGGGCGAGCCCGAGCCUCACCGGAUCUGGGCGAGCCCGAGCUCGCCCCGCCAAGGCGAGGCCGAGCGUUGCCACCCCCCGGCGAGGCUCGGCCUCGCCGGAUUUGGGCGAGCUCGAGCUCGCCCAGCCAUGGCGAGGCGCGGCCUCGCCGGAUCUGGGCGAGCCCGAGCUCGCCCAGCCAAGGCGAGGCUCGGCGUCGCCGUCGCGGGCGAGGUCGCGCCUCGCCAUGGCUGGGCGAGCCGAGCCUCGCCGGGAUCUGGGCGAGCCCGAGCUCGCCAGGCGAGGCUCGGCCUCGCCAGGGGCCGGCGAGCCUCGCCGUGGUGGGCGAGGCUGCCGGCCCCGUCGGCCGGUCGUCGGAGGCUGGCGACCGCCCGAAAGAAAAAAAAUAAAAAAUAAAGGAAAAAAUGAAAAAUAAAAAUUAAAAAAUUAAAAAAUUAAAAAAUUAAAAGAAACAAAAAAAGAGCAAAAAUUUACCAAAUGUGUUUCUAUUUAUUUUUUAUUCCCGGAACAAAUUUACCAAACGCAUCUUUUUGUUCAAAAAGUGUUCCUCGGAACAGAAACACUUUUUUUUGUUUCUAUUUCCUGAAACAAAAAAAGAACAGAAACGUUACCAAACAGCCCCUUUAUUUCUGAAGUCAAAGUUGACUGGCCUUGCUUCGCAUUCAUAUGCGAUCUCCAAAAAGGCAAUAUAUAUAUAUAUAUAUAUAUAUAUAUAUAUAUAUAUAUAUAUGUGUGUGUGUGUGUGUGUGUGUGUGUGUGUGUGUAUAUCUAUAAAAGCCAUUCAAUAAACUUCUAAUAUAUUUGUGUCUGGAAGUAUAAUAUAAAUAUAUUUCAAGAUAUUUAAUCUUUAUUGUUAUCUACUUUGUCGGCUGGAUACAUUUAAAAAUAAGAGACUUUCUCUUCAUCAAUUCUUGAACUAUUUAAAUUUAAUAAGUGAUGAACGCUUGAGGAUGACAAACCACCGAACUAAUGCUAAUUUAAUGAACAUGGUCAUGUGGCAUGAUCAUGCCAAAUUGCUUACCGCGGGGCGAUCGUAUGUGCCACGUGACGACUGCAGGACUGUACACUUUCUUUGCCCUAACUAAUUAUAUUUUAUGCAAUUGAAUAGAUAGGGCUGUCCAUUUAUGCCUUUGCUACGGGGCCAGAAUGUCUUCUCCUUGUACCCAAGAUAAUGAGGAUUGGCAAUGAAUGAACCCCGAAUGCGGACGACGAACGUUGGAACUGGUCUUCAACGCUUGUGAUGUUUCAGCUUCUCCUCCCAGCUACAAGUCAUCGACACCGUGUCUGAAAGUUAAAGGAAUGUUCUCGUUAUGCACCUGUAAACCCGCUCUUCAAUCGUUCGAGCUCCGAGUUCGGAUUUUAACCUUUGGUCUCGUUAUUAGUCUACGCAAGGUUGCCUGUUUGAUAUGGUUGUGUUCGUAGAUGGAGCUCGGUCUAUAGAGAAUCAAUGAAUUUCAGCGAGAAAGGUACCAACAAAAUCCUUAACCUAUUAUAUUUGUGCUAAUUGAGUCUUAAACAUUUCAAUUGUGUCAAUUAAUUUCUAAACCUUUUGAUGAUUUGUCAAUAUAUUCCAUCUGAUCAUUUUGGUUGGAAAUUACUAAUAUGAACGCUAAGUAUCCGGCAUGACCGGCAAUAAUGUAGAGACUUUUUUUUUUUUAAAUUUUUUAUUACUUUUUUUUUUCUAUUUCGUUUUCUUCUUUUCUUUCCUUUUUUUUCCUCAACUAUGGGCCAGUGAAGUCAACGGCCGUCCCUCACUCGGUUUGAGAACACUUCUUGUCAUAAUCUAUAUGAACACAGAAGAUUCAUCAUCAGGAUAGUUAUAAAGGCUCAAAGAUUGGGGUUGGCUUUACCAACUUCCCUUACCGAAUAUCAACCAACCUUAUGGAUUAGGUAAGUGUGAGUUUAAACUCGAGUCAGUCGCUCACAUUUGAUAAUAUAAAACCAUAUACCUCAUCAGUAAUAUUUCUUAUACAACUUAUGACAAUACAUAAUUAAAAUUGAAAGGUUCAUUAUCGUGGCCAAAUGUCCCUUUCCUAAUUUUUAUUGUAAGUCCACUUUUUGGUGUGAAGUGUUGUGAACCGAGCUUAGCAUCUUAGGUCCGCUGUCCUGAUCAUCUUUAAAUUUUCAUUUUGACAUUGUUGAACUGAACUUACCAGGUGAUGCACACAACUCAUUAUGAGGGUUUUAUCACUGUAUUGAGCCUUUAAUACAAUUCAAUAGAUUCGUACGAAAACCCCAUUCUCAAUCAGACGAGCUUUCUUAUAAUGCAGAUGAAACAUGACGAGUUUUCUUUGUAAGGUAGAUAUAACAUGGGAAAAGGGUGGUUCAAUCAAGAAAUGCAAACACAAGAAGAAAAAUUAUAACUAUUCAGGCUUUAACUUUAUUCAUCCAUUAUCUGUAAGCAUUUUGUCCAAUAGGAUUCCUCUGAAUCAGAGACUAGUUUUAUUGUGGUUUGGUAAGUCUCUGCAUUAAGCACAAAAUCAGUGUAAAUGAACUAUGUCCAGUACAAGCUCACGUUUUUCAUAUGAACCCUACAGCUGUGUCCAAAGAAACGCUCUGAACCUGAAGCAACAUGAUGUGCCAAAGCAUACAUCACAACCUCAUAACCCCGGGCACCGUCCCAAGAUGUCCCAAAGACUCAAGUGCCUCAAAGGACCCAACCAGAUUGCUCCAAGACCAGUAUCACGUGCCUCAUACACACCUCCUCUACAUCUUGUAAAACACAGAGCAACUUCAAUAAUCAGAGACCAAUUGAAACAAUAGCGGGACUUUAGUUUCAGGAAAAUCCGGGACAGCUCAUAAAAAUCUGUUUUGGUCUUGUAUUAUAAUUGACACCGAGACCUUGGAGUGCCAAAAGUCAGCACAAAGAGAUAUUUAAGUAUCAAAAGUUACGAAAAUGACACUUAAGUGUCAAAAUCGAAGCAAAAUGGAUAAUUUAAUUGCCAAUCCGGUCAAAAUUCGGUCAAAAUCCAGCCAAAAUGCUUACGUGACAAUUUUCCGGUGAAACAAGUGCAAAACAACGUCAUUUUGGUGUGGACGUGGUAAAAAUUAAUUAAAUUUAUUUAAAAAAUUUAAAUAAUUUAAAAAUUUAAAAAUUUAAAAAAAUUUAAAAAAGGAGGUGGCAGCAGUGAGGGCUCAGCCCUCAGCUGCCUCCAUUUUUUUUUUUAAAUAUUUGUAUUUGUAUUUUUAAAUGUUUUAAAUAAAUUUAGUUUUAAAUUUAAUUAAUUAAUUUUUAUAUAAAUUUUUUACAACGUUAGCAUCAAAACGAUAUCAUUUUUACAUUGUCUAGUCAUGUCAGCGUGCAAAACGACACCGGUGUGCACUUACUUCGCUGGAAAUUGCGCAUGUAAGUAUUUUGGCUAGAUUUUGACCAGAUUGGCAUUUAGUGAUCCAUUUUGCUUCGAUUUUGAUACUUUAAGUGUCACUUUCGUAACUUUUGGCACUUAAGUGUCAAUUUGUGCCAACUUUUGGCACUUGAAGCGUACUUUUGCCUAUUAUAAUUUUACACUAAGAAUGCAUGUUACAACAGAAGAUAGAUCAUCGAAGGUUGAAGAUCCCGCUAGCAAUAAAUUUGAUAUAUCCGAAUUGUUCUGUUUUCUAAGGAACUGAUGAUCCAAAACAUCGAUUUGCUUCAUCGUGUAGGUCGCCAAAGCUGCUUCAUGACUGCUUUCAACCACUAUAGAAAUCAAAAGAACUUGCCCAAGAGCUGAAGCCUGACGCAUGUAGGUGAAAUGAGAUAAUCAGAGGGUGUCAUAUUCCAACUUUUGGCUGAGAAUUCUAACAUUAGCCUAUCUCUCUCUCAAACACGCGUGGGCAACAAAUGUUACAGGUCAGAACUAACAGUCAAACCCUGCUCGGUGCAACAGCAAAAGUAUCUCCUCUUCAAGAAAGAAAAGUAGGUAAAUAUAGAUGCGCACUGUUAAAAAUAUCAAGGUGAGGGCGAUAUGUGAAAGAAGUUUGAUGCGAUGUAAAGUGAAGCCAUUCGUAUAUACUAAUGGGUUUAUAACUUGUUUGUGUAAGCUUUUUGAGUGAAUAUGAGUUAGAUUAGAUAUAUGGACUCCUCUUUGAUGAUCUUGAAGUGAAGGUAUUGGGUUUUUACUAUGUCAACCCAACAAGUGUAUUAGAGACGAUGAUUUGGAUGGGUUAGGCCCAAGAUAUGUGGAUCGGGAAUUUAUGAGUAUCUCAAGAAAAGGAAUCUUGGAUGUGGCUCUCCAUGACUUGGUAGAUAGUGCAAUCUUGCCAAGCUUGGCUGGACAAGGGCGAUUGAGGAGGAGUCAAGGCAGUAUUGUGCUCUAGCCGAUUGGCUAAGCUAAGGUAGAGAUUUGGGAUGAAUUAAUGUUGGUGCGAUACGAUAUCUAGAUUAAGAGGAGUGGGACUAAAUAUUUGUUGUGAAUUAUAAUUUCCAAAAGGGGGAUGUGGUGUAAAGUGCAGCAAUAGUAUAUUCUAAUAAGUUCAUAAUUCUUCCGUUAUGCUUUUGAAUGAAGAUGGGUCUAGCUAGCUUGGAUUUAAAAUUCCUUCAGAUGAUCUCGGGCGAAGCUCUAUUUUCCAGUUCAAAUCAGUUGAAAGAUGAGAGUUAAAUAUGGAGAAUACACCGACCAAUGAUAUCAUGUAUCACGUUGUCCCUGAAUUUCACUGCUCAUGCCUCAUUGGCUAGUUCCGUUAUUAGUGCCCACGCAAAAAAAGGUUGACUUGAACGAAAAGGAUGCUUCCUAGUUUUCUUCAGCUUUCCUCAUAUGAACUGUUGAGGUCUCAUUUGUCUGUCUUUCUCACUCUCUGCGUGUGAGUGGUGAGUUAACGAGUGAGCGAGCGUUUCAAGAGGAAGAAUCAAAAAAGGAAGACAUGGGGACACCAGGAGGAGAAAUGGGGAUCCCUCUUCUUGAAGAACAAGAAGAAGUACUUCCUGACAGAAUCACACACAUGCUUGUUCUCAGUGCAUUUUUCGCUGUCUGCGGCUCCUACGUCUUCGGAAAUGCUGUAAGAACUUUGCUUAUCUUAAAGCUUGGCUACUAGCGGGAAUUGUCUUUCCUUUUAUGUGCUUUUUUUUCUUUUUUUCAUCUCUUGUCACGCAUGUUUCUUCGUUCUGUUACUGUCAUCUGGAAUAGCAAACUCUGAUCUGGAAAAGAAUAUAACGCUGACCAACUAAUUUUCUGGAUGACUUAUCAAACUUGCCUUUGCCUUCGAUCAGUGUGCAACAGUUUCUAGUUAUGCAAUAUUGCCUUGAUUAGGUAGAACAAGACUUGGCAUAUCUCCUCGUGUUGAUUCAAAUAAAUAUUUUGAAGACUGUGAACAGUGUGUAGUUCUCGCUCCUAGUUACCGUCUAAUUGGCUUAAAGAUAUGAUUUUUUCAGGUGUCUUACUCAUCUCCUGCUGAAUCAGGUAUUAUGGAUGAACUGAGCCUUUCUUUGGCAGAGGUCAGUGACCAUCACUAUUUGCUCUUUCACUGUUUUCAACGUUUUGUGUAAUCCAUCUAAAGUAUAAACUAAGUGAAUGGAAGCAUUGCUUAAAUAGACUAAAACAUUUUGCAGUGUGAGUGGAGAAUUCACUUGUUGGUUCNNNNNNNNNNNNNNNNNNNNNNNNNNNNNNNNNNNNNNNNNNNNNNNNNNNNNNNNNNNNNNNNNNNNNNNNNNNNNNNNNNNNNNNNNNNNNNNNNNNNNNNNNNNNNNNNNNNNNNNNNNNNNNNNNNNNNNNNNNNNNNNNNNNNNNNNNNNNNNNNNNNNNNNNNNNNNNNNNNNNNNNNNNNNNNNNNNNNNNNNNNNNNNNNNNNNNNNNNNNNNNNNNNNNNNNNNNNNNNNNNNNNNNNNNAUGCAGUGGUAAAGUAGCUGACCUAAUCGGCCGGAGAGGGGUAAGUGUUCUGGCCAAUACCUUUUAAAUGUUGUUUUACCACUGCAUCAUCUCAAAUUUGAGCGUCACAAAUUGUUUGAAACUUAUAAUUCAACUUCUGCUGAUAAUGUUGCACAGGCUAUGUGGGUUACUGAUGUAUCAGGCAUCAUCGGAUGGUGUGCAAUAUUUCUUUCAGAGGUACCAUGUUUAUGUGCCAAUUGGUCCAUUAUUAGUUUUCAUUAACCAUUUUACUUAUCCCUUGGCUAGCUUACUUGCUCCGCUGGCAAAGUUCUUCAAAAGUUGAUGUCUAGCCUCAAGUUUUACCGAGCAAAUAGACAUUAAUGUCGAAUGGAGAACCUGGUUCUUUUGUGGGAAUAGUUUACUAUCCACACUUCAUAAUACUAACGAACUUUAACUUCUUGAAGAGUGCUUGGUCUCUUGAUCUUGGAAGAUUAUUACUGGGAUUUGGAGUUGGUCUUGCCUCAUACGUGGUAACAAAUGCAGUUUCUUCAGAUCAUAUAGCAUUGUAAGUCCAACCAUUCAAUGUCGAUUGAUUAUGCAUUUAAUCGUGCAGGUACCAGUGUAUGUUGCAGAGGUAACACCGAAGAAUUUAAGGGGAGGAUUUGUUUCGCUCUGUAUGGUAAUUAAAAGCCUCAUAAAUUGUUGCUUUGGCUUCCGUCUCUACCUGAAGUCAAAUUACAUCGAUCCUCUGUAUGAUCCACAAGCUCAGGCCACUUCUUUACAGCUUUUAUCGAUGUCAUUUUAGGCAUUCCACAUAUCUUUCCUGACUUGUUCUUGCAUCAUACAAAUCACACUAUCUCGCUGGAGGAUCUUGUGGCCAUCCUUUGUAUAUUGAAACUAACUUCCCUUUUUUUACCUGGUGGAUGAUAUACAGUUGGUGAUAGCCGGUGGCAUGUCAAUGACGUACAUCAUUGGUUCGCUGGUAAAUUGGCGUCUCUUGGCUUGUUUAGGUACUCCCCAUUAGACUAUAAAUAAUUAUUGGUUCGUAUGCUUCGAAUAUGAUUUUUAUAAGCUUUCUCAUGCAACGUGUUUCAGGAAUUAUUCCAUGUCUAUUGCAGCUGGGGGGUCUUUUCCUUAUUCCAGAAUCUCCUAGAUGGCUGGUGAGUUUCUUGAAGGGAAAUUCAAGAUACUGUUGCUGGAAUGUAGAUGACAUGUUAAAUAGAAUCUAGAACCUUUCAUGCAAUUUUUGCCCCCGCCUUGUUGCUUGCAUGAGUAAGACUGGCAGAAGCAUCAGUCGGGACUGAUAUAGACAAUGAUGAUUGCUGUGCACAGGCCAAGGUUGGUCGAGAAAAAGACAUGAAAGCUGCGUUGCAGCGUCUCAGGGGAAAGAAUGCAGAUAUCUCCAAAGAAACAUCUGAAAUCGAAGUAUAAAAUCUCACUGCAGCAGAAUGUUUUCAUUUUAAACUCAUGGCUUAAUUAUGUCCAAAUGGCUUUACUUUCGAGAAAGGUAGUGUGGUUUAGCAUGAGGUAGCGCUUCGUUUACUGCAGGGUUACAUUGAAACUCUUCAACAAGUAUCAGAACAUGGGAUAUUCCACAUAUUUCAGCGAAAAUACGCACGAGCACUAACUGUAAGCCCCGUAGCUGAAUUCUUACUAUUUAUCUCGAUCUUUACCAAUUUCAUGUUAUCGAUGAAAUCAAGCAUGUGACUUCGAUCUAGGUUGGACUUGGCCUAAUGGUUUUUCAACAGUUGGGAGGAUUAAAUGCAUAUGGAUUUUAUAUGAGUUCAAUUCUCGAAAAAGCCGGUAACUUCAUCUACGCUGAAUCAUCAUUCAAUGAAAACUUUCCAUUUCAAGAUGAAUAAUACAUUGACAACAAUUGGCUUCUGAGACAGGUGCUUCAAGUACUGCCGGGUCCAUCACCACGGCCAUUGUCAAGGUUUGUAUUCCUGUGUAAAUAGUGAGCCUUUUUUCUCCUCUCCUCCCUUAGCCUAUGAAUAAUUCUUUCGUAUCCAUGAUACGCAGUUGGCAGCAAAUAUUGUAGCUGUGUUCUUGAUGGAUAAAUUCGGAAGACGACCGUUACUGCUGGUAGUAACUGAGCCGAAGCACUGUGGAUCAUUCUUGUGCUCAUCAUAUUCACCCAACACAAAUAUUACUUCAAAAUGGCUGAUAGAUAAAAUGCUUCUGAAUGUAGUCGAAACUUUGCUGUUCCUGAAACCAACUAGCUAAUAUGCAGGUUUCAGCAUCCGGAGCUUGCUUGGCUGGCUUCCUUAUUGGAUUAUCAUUUCUCCUACAGGUUCCUUACUACACAUGCUUCCUGUUUAUCCUCAUAUGAAUUUAGUACGGUAUGCUCUUGGUGGAAAACUGUCUAAGAUUCAACGUGCAGGACUAUCAUCAAUCAACCGAUGUUGUAUCCACCUUGACCUUCGUCGGGAUUGUGGUGAUUUUUUUCCCCUUGAUAUGUUAAAUGCUCUAUUUGUUGCUUCAAAAUGUAAAGAAAAAUGCAGCAGCAGCAUUGUUACGAACUUUGCUCCUCUUAGAUGGAUUAAUGAGGUCCGCAUUCUACAACUUCAGGUUUUUAGCGGGUUUUUUGCGAUGGGCUUAGGAGGGAUACCGUGGAUCAUAAUGGCCGAAGUCAGUGAGAAAUCUGGUGCUCUAACUACUUUUCUCGAGUCCUGUAUGCUCAUUGAGUUCACAGGGCUUGACGUGAACCAAUCGUCUUGAUGUCUCAUCUUAUUAUGACGGUUUCUGCUGUGCCAGAUUUUCCCAAUGAACGUGAAGGGCUCGGCAGGGAGCCUCGUGAAUUUGGUCAGCUGGUCCGGUUCCUGGCUUGUGGCCUACACAUUCAACUAUUUCUUUGAAUGGAGCUCAGCAGGUGAUGCUUCUUCACUUCUCAUCCUCGCUGCUUUUUCUAGUGCCAAAUUCAGGUACAAAUUAAUAUAUUCAUCAGUCUGCCGAAUGUGCCAGGCGUGUUUUUUGCGUUCUCGGGCAUCUGCUGUUCUGCAGUACUCUUCAUAGCGAAGAUGGUGCCGGAAACCAAGGGGCGCACACUCGAGGAAAUAGAGGCAUCGAUGACCUCAUAGGUCACCCUGGAAACAAGGUCCUCAACGAAGCAUAUUUUGUCUACUCGAUCUCUAUGAUCGCGAAAUUGGUGUUAGCUUGCUCGUAUGCUGAGCCAAGUGCAGAUCGAGUAGCGUAAAAUGCAUAACUCUGGUGUAGGAAUUGAACGCGAGCUGAAGCCAAUUCUUUGAACUGUUUGAAUUUGAGAUGGCCUGCAAAGUAGAUAGAAAGCAGCUAAUAUGGGAAGCUUGUUAUUCAUAUGUUCAGGUAGAAAUAUUGCGAGGGCUAAAUAAUGGAUUAGUGUAUGAGAUUACCGGGUAUUAUUGAAAGCUAGUAAACACCAAAAGUGUUUGAAUAACUCAAGUGUGGGUAUAUUUUCCGUCAUAUCGUUUAUUCAAUACUAAAAUCCUAUGCGAGUUUCCCCAUGGAGUAGGUCUUGCCACUUGAACUAUAGAAAUCCAGCGUUCAAUUUAUUUCGUCGUUGUAUUUACUUAAUAUAUUGUUUAUUUGUUUUCCACAACGUAAUGUUAGAAAAGAGUCAUUGUCCACAUAUGAGUCCAAUAGAUUUACGGUCAUGCGAUAUAUAUGGGUAUGGUGCAUACCCAUAUAGAUCCAUGUAGAGUCGGGCUUUUAUGAAUUUAAAAUGAAUUUUAUUGGUUGAAAAAGCGUGAAGUCUAUAUACUUCCGUUUUUAAUAUCCCAACAGCCUUUACUUUUCUAUUUUGCUCAAGUACAAAUAUUAGGACUAAAAGCUUCUUUCAAGGAAGAAAAAACAAAAGAAUUUCUCGAGUAUGACUAUUCAAAAAGAUGUCUUUACUAGCACCAAUAGAUACCAGAUAAGUUAUAGUUGUCAAUGUGAAGUGCUGCAAGUAUCUACGGUAUAACGAUUUGGCGAAAAGUAUAAAAAAAAAGUCUUAAUCCUUUUGUAUCGAUGUCAAUUUAGUCCGAACUUUAUAGUCUCAUUAAAAUAUUACAUAAAGAUAGAUCGCUUUUCCAAUCCCAAUCCAAAUAUCCCUGCUAUGAUGCUAUUUUGUCCACACUCAUCCCAAGCCAUAUUGUAAUUGUUUAGGCCACAACCAAGCACGGUAUUAGGAAAUCUUUUGGAAUAUCCCUUGUUAUGAAAGGUGAAGAUGUGAGAUCCAAGCUGAGCUUUGCUAUAGGUCUCACCACUUCCAUAUCUAAGGUAGACCUUGUCGUACAUAUACGGAUAUUGACCAGUGCCAAUUGACGGGGUGGUUAUAUAAUAAUUGAGAUUAGCCCCCAGCAAGUGCACUGGGGCUCCAUUUAUUGACUCCUUCCGGAGCAUUGAACUCGACGAAACCAUGAAUUUGAGUUGGCACACAUGAGCUUUAGAUAUCUUAAAGAUUUUUUGAUAUCUUUCUUCUAGGUGAGAUUUCUAGGAUAGAGCGUUGUGUCAAAUUGGUCUAUAGGGAUAAGUUUAAUACUAAAACCAUGGAUUUCAAAAGACUUGGUGGUGAUGGGAAAGCAAAUGAAGAGAGCAACUAGAGUAAGAAGUGACAUUGUCCUAGUUUUCGCGAAUUUUCUGGUUGUGUUCGCAAUUGCUGAAUCCUCAUAUAGUGCUAUUCUUCUUCUUUUUCUCAUUGCUAAUAAAUUGUGUUUCUAAGAAGUUUUUUUUUUUUUUUGGGUUUGGUCUGGUAAUAAAAUCAGAUUUCCGCUAAUUAAUAUACUCCCAAAAGUAGAGACAAUUAAUAUAAUGAUCCGCAUUUGUUGUAAAAAUUUCAUUUUUAAAAGUCAACCCAUCUUCCUCCUAAGGUAUACAACUUCCAUUGCGAAGAAGUUAAAGGAAACGGCUCAUGCACAAAUGGUAGAGAUAAAUCGGAUUUCCUCUAAUUAAUAUGCUCCAAAAAGUAAAGACUAUUAAUAUAAUGAUCCAAAUUUAUUGUGGAAAUUUUAUUUUUCAAACUCAACUCAUCUUGGACCAAAGAUAUAUAAGUUCCUAAAAAGGCACCCGUUCUUACUUUAACCUAAAACCUACUCCUGGUGCAUAGGCUCUUGCAACCUAUCCUACAGGAACUGGUCAAUUUCACCUGGAACCUACACUCUAAUGUAAUCUUUUUUCAAAUACAAUUUCUUUUAAUUACCAUUAAUUGCUAACACAUUCAUAGAGUAAAAAAAAAACAAUUACAAUUUACACGGUCUAAGUACAUGUUGUCAACAACUUCUUAGAUAAGACAUAAUAACAUUGCACAGCUAAAAUGCAAAACUACAUCGAUUUUUUUUUCUCAUAAAAAUAUAACUCAGCAACUUGUACCGAAGCAUAUCCUUCACAACCUUCCCCUCGUUCUCAACAUAUCUUGCAAUCUCUUCCUUUUUAAAGGCCUCUCACAAUUAAAAAAAAAAAAAAUUAACUCCUAGGGUUGAAACAAUUGAUUGUGGCUUUGGGGUUUUUUCCAGCUCACGAAUGAGUUCAUCAGUUCAGACUUACCUUCUGUGUGUAAAUUGCCUUAAGUUGAGAUUACUUGUAUAGAGUAAAAGUCUGCACUAAAUUGAUUCAUGAGACAUACAAAAUGUUUAUGUGCCUUUAGGACCUGUGUCUUUAUGCUCGUGCCCCUGAAUUAUCUAUAAAAAAUUAUAUGCAUUCAAAGACGAUAUGACUUGAAUAAAAUUAAAUCCAAUAGUGCAUGUGUAUGUCCAUAUUAAAAUCGAUUCUUGGCUAGUUUGUUGGGUCUAGCCUUAAUCACAAGAAGUUGUUUAUUCAUGUAAAUUUCUUUAAUUACAUUGGGUCGCUUCAAGGGAGAUGAAUCUCAUAAUUGGAGGAACCGUAGAAGAGCAUCCUCAUAAAUAUCAUUCUUAAAUUGCCUUACUGAAUGAGAAACAUAAACAUGAAAUAUGCAUUAUCUACCUUAAAAGUUAGAGCCAUACUUGUCUUAUUCUUUUCCCAUAGUUCUUCAUGUCGCGCUCACAUAAUAAUUGGUCGAGGAUGGACGAGAGUAGACUAUCGAAAAAAAGUACAUGAUGCAAGAUAAUAACCAUUUUUCCUUUAUUAAGGAAAGAUAUGGACAUUUUGCGGAUGUUGCCUUCAUCGCGGGAUGAACGGAAAGAGAUUGGGAAGGCCGGUAGGUCCAAGAAGAGUUUCAACGAUGUAUAACCAAAUUUGCCUAGUACUUGAAAGGGAAAGUUCCCUAACCAAGGAGAAAAGAAGGUUCAUGCAGUCCUCGGAACCUGCAAAAACAUUGCCCUCCUGGAAGCAGUGCACAAGUGGUACCAUACCUUUUAAUGAUUGAUCAGAGACACAGGCAUGACAGUACAUGCUACUUCCGAGUAUCUCGGUCAGGGUGAAUUUAAGUCCAGAAAAAUUUGUGCCCCACAUUUCGGUUAGCAGUCCACCUCCAUUGCACAUACCUAAUAAAAGUUACUGUAGAAGUACCAUCGCGUUUAAUUAUAGGCGUGGCACAUCAAGAAAAUGUACAAAAUAGGAUAAGCAACACUUCCAGUCAAUGGAAAUGAUUUCACGAAAGAAAAGCAUCAAAUGAAUUUCCAAGAGAUUAAUUACUUACCCAACAUCCUCAUAUAUAUAGCAACAUAAAGCUACGUAGGCUUCAAAUUCUCAGCACCCGGAUGAUUGUGUAGCUGACUACUUCACUGUUGUGAUGAUCUUAUAAUGCAGUUUUUCCAACGUUACAUUUUGUAGUCAACAUUAUGAGAACUUUUUUUAUAUCAAAUAUAUCUUGUCUAGGAUGGUAUCAUAGAUCUCAUGGAAAACAACAGCUAAGAGAAAAAAGAGAAGAUAUAUUACUAUCAUAAAAUCUAUAAUUAACUUCAAAAAAGCAUAGGCCUUAGGUUAUUUGGCAGCUCAAGAUGGGUCUCAUGAAAAUCUUAUAUUCCUUGAGGUGGUUUUGUCUAGUGGAUAGUGGUUUGUAAUGGAACUUUAACUUCAGUUGUGAUCAUUAAAACCAUCAGUUUCGUUUAGGGGUCGGGAAUGUGUCACUUAUCAAUUUAUCAAGUAAAUUAUUGGGGGCCCAAGUAGACCAUAUAGAUUAAUUGUGCUUCUUGCCUAAAUAAUCAACCUAUUGUUUUUUUUUUUUGUCAAAAGAGUAAUCAACUUGUUUGAAGUGGCUCACUUUGUACUGUAAUAGCUCAUUUAUCAACAAUGAUUAGUUUUACUCCAAAAAUUUGGAAUUAUUUGGCUCCUUGUCAUUCUCCUCCAUUACGAAAAACUCCCCUUGGAGGAGCUGUACAAUCUCUAUAUGAUAAAAGUUUAACCUCUAAUUUCUAAAACUCUGAUUUAUAAAUCAAACUCGUCCUUGAAAAAACUCAAGUUGAGAAAUAUUAUAUAUUUUGGGUUUACAAACUAACUCAAAUCAAAUGCAUGUUAUCAUUCUAUAAACCUUACUCAAAGUUAAGAGCUUUUUAUAAAAAGAUUUUGUAAACCCAAAAUAUAUAAUAUUUCUCAACUUGAUUAAUCAAACAAAAUAUAUAUUUCCACCAAACAGUUCUCACAUCAUUCAUAAAUAUCAAAAUGUAUUAAAUGUCUGAUUCAAAUUUUUUGCAACAAAUAUGCUUAUUCAUAACUCACAAUAUAUCAAAUCUCGAUCUACAUGAGUUUACAAACUCUUAGAUAACAAUAUAGUGGUUACUCUAGCCAAGGUACUUGUAUCUGUAUCAAUUAAUUGAAAACGAUAUCAAAACCAUGUAAUAUGCUACUCUAAUCAAUGAUUUGACUAACCUAUGCUUAUUCUUUGAUAAAACGACACCUAUACGCUAUCAAAGAAACACGUUUAUAGCAAAAGUUUAUCUUUCUCUAUAGUGCAAAUUGUCUGCUACGUGUAACUCAAACUUGAAACUUAGAAAUUUUUUAUGAUCAAAUUGUGCCUUGGAAUCAAAUUUGGUUAAACCCCAAAGCUCCACAACGCCUUAGACUACCUUUUCCAUGGAAAUCGCAGUUAAAAAACUCCGCAGUUCAAAAACUCCUCAUUCGAACCUCAAAGUUCAAGAUCAUAUAAGUUAAAGUUUGUACCCUAACUUCCAAAAUUACUCUGAUUAGACAAAUAAUCAACUUGAAUACUUACCAGGUGUUACAAUUAGAAGUUGACUCAGCUAGUCGGGGUGUCCAGGUCAGUUACUUGGGACAAUUUUUUAUUUUUUUUUCCUUUUUCUUCUUUUCCUCUUUCCCUCCUCGUUUUCUGCUUCAGCUUCUUCUUUUCCUUUGGUGCUUCAAAAGCACGAGGUCAAAUAAUAAGAGAGAAAAAGAGGGUUGGGCUUAACUUUUAAGACACAUGGGCUGGCUGGGCUUUUAUUGGGCCAGUUAUUAAAAAGUUUCACAGACAGUGUUAGUUUUUAUAUCCACUUUUUAGCCACUGGUAAAGUGAAUUUUUGUCUCUCUCGUGUGGGGUAUACUUUGUGUAAUUGUACAGAGCAUGCUGGAAAGUUUUGAUGAGAAGAUCCCUGAGUUGGAGAAGCAAAUCAAAGGAUAAGCUUUUAGACAUUACAGUAGAUAAAACAUGAGAGAGACGUGGUUGAAUUAAGGAUCGUAAAUAAAAAAGGAGAGCUGUAAUCUUCUGUAAAAUCUAUACGGACUAUUUUCAUCCAUUUGCUCUAAGCAUUAUCUGGUUUAACAUUAAUCUGAAUCAUAGACAAAUCGAAAUAGUUGCACGAUUUUAGUUUCUAUGAUUCAUAACGAGUCUUGGAUCCUCUUCGCGAAUUGGAUCUGACUUUGGGACACGGCUUAAUCUCAAAAUUAAACCUCACGAACUUCUCGUCCUUUUCGUUAAACUGGAAGGCCUCGACAGUUUAUUUCUGAAGUCAAAGUUGGCUGGCCUUGCUUCGCAUUCAGAUGCGAUCUCCAAAAAGGCAAAAUAUAUAUAUAAAAAAAAAGUCAUUCCAUAAACUUCUAAUAUAUUUGUGUCUAGAAGUAUAAUAUAAAUAUAUUUCGAGAUAUUUAAUCUUUAUUGUUAUCUAUUUUGUCGGCUGGAUACGUUUAAAAAUAAGAGACUUUCUCUUCAUCAAUUCUUGAACUAUUUAAAUUUAAUAAGCGAUGAACGCAUGAGGAUGACAAACCACCGAACUAAUGCUAAUUUAAUGAACAUGGCCAUGUGGCAUGAUCAUGCCAAAUUGCUUACGGCGGGGCGAUCGUAUGUGCCACGUGACGACUGCAGGACUGUACACUUUCUUUGCCCUAACUAAUUAUAUUUUAUGCAAUUGAAUAGAUAGGGCUGUCCAUUCAUGCCUUUGCUACGGGGCCAGAAUGUCUUCUCCUUGUACUCAAGAUAAUGAGGAUUGGCAAUGAAUGAACCCCGAAUGCGGACGACGAACGUUGGAACUGGUCUUCAACGCUUGUGAUGUUUCAGCUUCUCCUCCCAGCUACAAGUCAUCGACACCGUGUCUGAAAGUUAAAGGAAUGUUCUCGUUAUGCACCUGUAAACCCGCUCUUCAAUAGUUCGAGCUCCCAGUUCAGAUUUUAACCUUUGCUCUCGUUAUUAGUCUACGCAAGGUUGACUGUUUGAUAUGGUCGUGUUCGUAGAUGGAGCUCGGUCUAUAGAGAAUCAAUGAAUUUCAGCGAGAAAGGUACCAAUAAAAUCCUUAACCUAUUAUAUUUGUGCUAAUUGAGUCUUAAACAUUUCAAUUGUCAAUUAAUUUUUAAACCUUUUGAUGAUCUGUCAAUAUAUUCUAUUUGAUCAAUUUUGGUUGNNNNNNNNNNNNNNNNNNNNNNNNNNNNNNNNNNNNNNNNNNNNNNNNNNNNNNNNNNNNNNNNNNNNNNNNNNNNNNNNNNNNNNNNNNNNNNNNNNNNAUCAUUUCUGCAAUGCAUUCCCCAAAAGUUGAACCAAACGGGCCUUAAUUUCUUUGAAUUGCAACCCUUCUGUUACAUUCAUCAAAAUAGAUUAAAAAUUUAAUACUACGAAUCUAAGCAUAUCCUUAAAAAGUUCAAAGAAAAGAAAUAGGUGAGAAAAUCACUUAGGACGGAAAAUCUCACAAUGACAUUUCCAUAUUCCCUUUCUUUAGGGAAGAAAAAUAUUUAAAGAGAAUUGGACGGAUUAGAAGUGCAAGUAUUGACACAUUAAAAUAACGAAUGUAGUCCUAUCAGUCAAAUCAAGAAAACUGAUUAGGCGGGCGGUCCUAGCUUGAGUGAAAAUACUCUAUCCUUUGGUGAGGUUACCUGUAACCUCAGUGCCUGUCUAAUAACCAUUCCAACAGUGACUGAUUCUGAUUUUUUGUUCUUGAGAGUAAUUUGGGAACAGAAUCGUAUUUGGUAAAAUUUUUGUUUUUGGGAACAAAUUUAUAUUUUUUUGUUCCCAGAAGUAGAUUUGGAACAUAAUCAAGAAUAAUAAAAAAAAAGUUGAUUAUUGUUCUAGGAACAAAUCUAAGAAUAAAAACCAACUCUUCUUCUUUUUCGAUCGUCAUCUUGCGGUUGCUGUCCGCCGUCGGUUGCCGGCAACCGGUCUGCAAGAUCGCUGGAGGCAAGCCUAGCCAUCGGCGAGGCUUCUUGUCGGUGGCCAGACGAGCCUCGCCCAGCCUUGGCGAGGCUCGCCUAGCCUUGUUGGUGGCCAGGUAGGCCUCGCCUAGCACUGACAAGGUCAGCCUGGCCACCGACGAGGCUCAACCUCGCCAAAUCGGUUGAGGCUGAGCCUCAGCGGGGCUGGGUGAGCCUCGCCUAGCUGCCGGUGAGGCUUGGUAGACAAGGGCUGGCCUUGUUGAGGGUCGGCGACGCUUUGGUGAGGUCGUCGGUCCUCGUCUCGGCGACCGGCUUGAAGAAGAAGAAGAAGAAUAUGAGAAAAAAGAAAAAAAAGGAAAAUAGUAUAAAAAUUAUUUAAAAAUUAAAAGAAAUUGAUUUGGAACAUAAUCAAUGAGUACAGUACUAAACACAAUUCUAUUCCAGAACAAGAAAUUUUGGAUGGAUAUCAAUGGUUUAAAAUGCUUAAAUCUGUUUCCGGGAACAGAAUAAAAAAGAUCAUUUCUAUCAGAUUUACUAUCAGGAAUAGAAUCGUUACCAAACGCGUCUAAAUAACNNNNNNNNNNNNNNNNNNNNNNNNNNNNNNNNNNNNNNNNNNNNNNNNNNNNNNNNNNNNNNNNNNNNNNNNNNNNNNNNNNNNNNNNNNNNNNNNNNNNNNNNNNNNNNNNNNNNNNNNNNNNNNNNNNNNNNNNNNNNNNNNNNNNNNNNNNNNNNNNNNNNNNNNNNNNNNNNNNNNNNNNNNNNNNNNNNNNNNNNNNNNNNNNNNNNNNNNNNNNNNNNNNNNNNNNNNNNNNNNNNNNNNNNNNNNNNNNNNNNNNNNNNNNNNNNNNNNNNNNNNNNNNNNNNNNNNNNNNNNNNNNNNNNNNNNNNNNNNNNNNNNNNNNNNNNNNNNNNNNNNNNNNNNNNNNNNNNNNNNNNNNNNNNNNNNNNNNNNNNNNNNNNNNNNNNNNNNNNNNNNNNNNNNNNNNNNNNNNNNNNNNNNNNNNNNNNNNNNNNNNNNNNNNNNNNNNNNNNNNNNNNNNNNNNNNNNNNNNNNNNNNNNNNNNNNNNNNNNNNNNNNNNNNNNNNNNNNNNNNNNNNNNNNNUCAUAUGUGAGAAUUUCGACUUGAGUGUCGGAGAGUGUCAAAAAAAUUAACCAGGUGUUGAAUUUUUCGACAUGUGUUUUAAUCGAGUGUCGGGCACGUGUCGGAGUGUCCAAUACAACAUGAAGACCAUUAGAGAGUGUCGAUGCUUCCUAGCUAUCAUGUGCCUCAUACGCACCUCCUUUGCAUCUUGUAAAAAACAGAGCAACUUCAAUAAUCAGAGACCAAUUGAAACAACAGCGGGACUUUAGUUUCAGGAAAAUCCGGGACAGCUCAUAGAAAUCUGUUUCGGCCUCGUAUGAUAAUUUAACGCUAAGAAUGCAUGUUACAACAGAAGACAGAUCACCGAAGGUUGAAGAUCCCGCUAGCAAUAAAUUUGAUAUAUCAAAAUUGUUCUAUUUUAUAAGGAACUGAUGAUCCAAAACAUCGAUUUGCUUCAUCGUGUAGGUCGCCAAAGCUGCUUCAUGACUGCUUUCAACCACUAUAGAAAUCAAAAGAACUCGCCCAAGAGCUAAAGCCUGACGCAUGUAGGUGAAAUGAGAUAACAAGAGGGUGUCAUAUUCCAACUUUUGGCUGAGAACUCUAACAUUAGCCUAUCUCUCUCUCAAACAUGCGUGGGCAACAAUUGUUACAGGUCAGAACUAACAGUCAGAACUACCAGUCAGACCCUGCUCAGUGCAACAGCAAAAGUAUCUCCUGUUCAAGAAAGAAAAGUAGGUAAAUAUAGAUGCACAUUGUAAAAAAUAUUGAGGUGAGGCAAUAUGCGAAAGAAGUUUGAUGCGGUGUAAAGUGAAGCCGUUUGUAUAUAUUAGUUAGUUUAUAACUCAUUUGUGUAAGCUUUCUGAGUGAAUAUGAGUCAGGUUAGAUAUAUGGAAUCCCCUUAGAUGAUAUCCAACAAGUGCAUUAGAGACGGUGAUUUGGAUGGGUUAGGCCCAAGAUAUGUGGAUCAGGAAUUUAUGAGUAUCUCAAGAAAAUGAAUCUUGGAUGUGACUCUCCAUGACGUGAUAGAUAGUGCAAUCUUGCUAAGCUUGGCUGGACUAGGGCGAUUGGGGAGGAGUCAAGGCAGUAUUGUGCUCUAGCCGAUUGGCUAAGCUAAGGUAGAGAUUUGGGAUGAAUUAAUGUUGGUGCGAUACGAUAUCUAGAUUAAGAGGAGUGGGACUAAACAUUUGUUGCGAAUUAUAAUUUCUAAAAGGGGGAUGUGGUCUAAAGUGCAGCAAUAGUAUAUUCUAAUAAGUUCAUAAUUCUUCCGUUAUGCUUUUGAAUGAAGAUGGGUCUAGCUAGCUUGGAUUUAAAAUUCCUUCAGAUGAUCUCGGGCGAAGCUCUAUUUUCCAGUUCAAAUCAGUUGAAAGAUGAGAGUUAAAUAUGGAGAAUACACCGACCAAUGAUAUCAUGUAUCACGUUGUCCCUGAAUUUCACUGCUCAUGCCUCAUUGGCUAGUUCCGUUAUUAGUGCCCACGCAAAAAAAGGUUGACUUGAACGAAAAGGAUGCUUCCUAGUUUUCUUCAGCUUUCCUCAUAUGAACUGUUGAGGUCUCAUUUGUCUGUCUUUCUCACUCUCUGCGUGUGAGUGGUGAGUUAACGAGUGAGCGAGCGUUUCAAGAGGAAGAAUCAAAAAAGGAAGAGAUGGGGACACAAGGAGGAGAAAUGGGGAUCCCUCUUCUUGAAGAACAAGAAGAAGCGGUUCCUGACAGAAUCACACACAUGCUUGUUCUCAGUGCAUUUUUCGCUGUCUGCGGCUCCUACGUCUUCGGAAAUGCUGUAAGAACUUUGCUUAUCUUAAAGCUCGGCUACUAGCAGGAAUUGUCUGUCCUUUUAUGUGCUUUUUUUUCUUUUUUUCAUCUCUUGUCACGCAUGUUUCUUCGUUCUGUUACUGUCAUCUGGAAUAGCAAACUCUGAUCUGGAAAAGAAUAUAACGCUGACCAACUAAUUUUCUGGAUGACUUAUCACACUUGCCUUUGCCUUCGAUCAGUGUGCAACAGUUUCUAGUUAUGCAAUAUUGCCUUGAUUAGGUAGAACAAGACUUGGCAUAUCUCCUCGUGUUGAUUCAAAUAAAUAUUUUGAAGACUGUGAGCAGAGUGUACUUCUCGCUCCUAGUUACCGUCUAAUUGGCUUAAAGAUAUGAUUUUUUCAGGUGUCUUACUCAUCUCCUGCUGAAUCAGGCAUUAUGGAUGAACUGAGCCUUUCUUUGGCAGAGGUCAGUGACCAUCACUAUUUGCUCUUUCACUGCUUUUAAUGUUUUAUGUAAUCCAUCUAAAAGUAUAAACUAAGUGAAUGGAAGCAUUGCUUAAAUAGACUAAAACAUUUUGCGGUGUGAGUGAGAACUCACUUGGUUCUUCCGAUCAUGUCUGUGGUGUUUACUUUGAAUGUCUAAUUUGUUACAAAGAAAGCUCUCCAUAUUCUGACAAUUUCCUGUGACUGAAAUCUAAAAGACACGGGAAAAUUUUACCCAACUGGGUGUAUAUUUUUGCACCUAUUGUUCUGUACCCCAAAAUUUUCUUUGGUCGACUGAACUGAAGUGCUGGUGAGAUGCAGUAUUCGGUUUUCGGUUCACUAUUGACGGUUGGAGGACUUCUAGGUGCCCUAUGCAGUGGUAAAAUAGCUGACCUAAUCGGCCGGAGAGGGGUAAGUGUUCUGGCCAAUACCUUUUAAAUGUUGUUUUACCACUGCAUUAUCUCAAACUUGAGCGUCACAAAUUGUUUGAAUCUUAUAAUUCAACUUUUGCUGAUAAUGUUGCACAGGCUAUGUGGGUUACUGAUGUAUCGGGCAUCAUCGGAUGGUGUGCAAUAUUUCUUUCAGAGGUACCAUGUUUAUGUGCCAAUUGGUCCAUUAUUAGUUUUCGUUAACCAUUUUACUUAUCCCUUGGCUAGCUUACUUGCUCCGCUGGCAAAGUUCUUCAAAAGUUGAUGUCUAGCCUCAAGUUUUACCGAGCAAAUAGACAUUAAUGUCAAAUGGAGAACCUGGUUCUUUUGUGGGCAUAGUUUACUAUCCACUCUUCAUAAUACUAACGAACUUUAACUUCUUGAAGAGUGCUUGGUCUCUUGAUCUUGGAAGAUUAUUACUGGG